UACAGAGGUCUCAACCGUUGUUCGGAUUCAUUGGGCGUAAAGGGUGCGUAGGCGGCGGGGUAAGUCAGGUGUGAAAUCUCGGGGCUCAACCCCGAAACUGCACUUGAUACUGCCUCGCUUGAGUACUGGAGAGGAGACUGGAAUUUACGGUGUAGCAGUGAAAUGCGUAGAUAUCGAGAGGAACACCUGCGGCGAAGGCGGGUUGCUGGGCUGACACUGACGCUGAUGCGCGAAAGCCAGGGGAGCGAACGGG
This 253-nucleotide ribosomal RNA is filed under the name uncultured bacterium. RNAcentral's name for it is "partial 16S ribosomal RNA". It matches the Rfam family "Bacterial small subunit ribosomal RNA", at positions 524 to 776 of the family's 1533-position model. The record is from RNAcentral.